ACUUAAAUUGAAGAGUUUGAUCAUGGCUCAGAUUGAACGCUGGCGGCAGGCCUAACACAUGCAAGUCGAGCGGCAGCGGGAAAGUAGCUUGCUACUUUUGCCGGC
RNAcentral lists this ribosomal RNA (105 nucleotides) under Aeromonas allosaccharophila. Its description in RNAcentral is "partial 16S ribosomal RNA". It matches the Rfam family "Bacterial small subunit ribosomal RNA", at positions 1 to 96 of the family's 1533-position model. The record is from RNAcentral. Lineage: Bacteria; Pseudomonadati; Pseudomonadota; Gammaproteobacteria; Aeromonadales; Aeromonadaceae.